UAGAACGCUGAAGGAGGAGCUUGCUCUUCUGGAUGAGUUGCGAACGGGUGAGUAACGCGUAGGUAACCUGCCUGGUAGCGGGGGAUAACUAUUGGAAACGAUAGCUAAUACCGCAUAACAGUAGAUGUUGCAUGACAUUUGCUUAAAAGGUGCAAUUGCAUCACUACCAGAUGGACCUGCGUUGUAUUAGCUAGUUGGUGGGGUAACGGCUCACCAAGGCGACGAUACAUAGCCGACCUGAGAGGGUGAUCGGCCACACUGGGACUGAGACACGGCCCAGACUCCUACGGGAGGCAGCAGUAGGGAAUCUUCGGCAAUGGGGGGAACCCUGACCGAGCAACGCCGCGUGAGUGAAGAAGGUUUUCGGAUCGUAAAGCUCUGUUGUAAGAGAAGAACGGGUGUGAGAGUGGAAAGUUCACACUGUGACGGUAUCUUACCAGAAAGGGACGGCUAACUACGUGCCAGCAGCCGCGGUAAUACGUAGGUCCCGAGCGUUGUCCGGAUUUAUUGGGCGUAAAGCGAGCGCAGGCGGUUAGAUAAGUCUGAAGUUAAAGGCUGUGGCUUAACCAUAGUAUGCUUUGGAAACUGUUUAACUUGAGUGCAGAAGGGGAGAGUGGAAUUCCAUGUGUAGCGGUGAAAUGCGUAGAUAUAUGGAGGAACACCGGUGGCGAAAGCGGCUCUCUGGUCUGUAACUGACGCUGAGGCUCGAAAGCGUGGGGAGCAAACAGGAUU
This 732-nucleotide ribosomal RNA is filed under the name uncultured Streptococcus sp. Its description in RNAcentral is "bacterial SSU rRNA". It matches the Rfam family "Bacterial small subunit ribosomal RNA", at positions 62 to 779 of the family's 1533-position model. The record is from RNAcentral. Lineage: Bacteria; Bacillati; Bacillota; Bacilli; Lactobacillales; Streptococcaceae.